CUUGCCCGACGCGCUGAGAGGAGGUGCAUGGCCGUCGCCAGCUCGUGUCGUGAGAUGUCCGGUUAAGUCCGGCAACGAGCGAGACCCCCGCCCCCAGUUGCUACCCGGUCCUCCGGGACCGGGGCACACUGGGGGGACUGCCGCCGUUUAAGGCGGAGGAAGGAGGGGGCCACGGCAGGUCAGCAUGCCCCGAAACCCCCGGGCUGCACGCGGGCUACAAUGGCGGGGACAGCGGGUACCGACCCUCGAAAGGGGGAGGUAAUCCCUCAAACCCUCGCCGUAGUUGGGAUCGAGGGCUGCAACUCGCCCUCGUGUAACGAGGAAUCCCUAGUAACCGCGCGUCAACAUCGCGCGGUGAAUACGUCCCUGCUCCU
Molecule: ribosomal RNA, 374 nt
Filed under: uncultured archaeon
Lineage: Archaea
Description: bacterial SSU rRNA
Rfam family: Archaeal small subunit ribosomal RNA
Source: RNAcentral